Molecule: ribosomal RNA, 497 nt
Filed under: uncultured bacterium
Lineage: Bacteria
Description: partial 16S ribosomal RNA
Rfam family: Bacterial small subunit ribosomal RNA
Source: RNAcentral
GACGAACGCUGGCGGCGUGCUUAAUACAUGCAAGUCGAGCGAACAGGUCUGGAGCUUGCUCCUCUGACGUUAGAGGCGGAAGUAUCAGUAACACGUGGUUCCCCUAGCUCUAAGAUUGGGCUAACUUCGGGAAACUGGAGCUAAUAACGACUAAUAUAUUGAACCGCAUGGUUCAAUAGUGAUAUCGGGUUUUGCUGUCACUUCUAGAUGGAUCCGCGCCGCAUUAGCUAGUUGGUAAGGUAGCGGCUUAGCAAGGCAACGAUGUGUAGCCGACCUGAGAGGGUGAUCGGUCGCCGGGCAACGGGGACAAGCUGCAGACUCGUAAGGGAGGCAGCAGUAGGGAAUCUUCCGGAAGGAGCAGAAGCCUGAAGUAGCAACGCCGCGUGAGUGAGGAGGGUCGUCGGAGCGUAAGACUCGGUUAUUAGGGAAGUACAAAUGUGUAAGGAACUAUGCGCGUCUGGACGGUAGCUAUACAGAAAGCCACGGCUAACUACGUG